UAUUUUGUGCCGGAUGAAACGGGCUUCAUUGAUGUUGAAGAAUAUAAGUUUUACUUCAAAAUAA
RNAcentral lists this transfer RNA (64 nucleotides) under Paranemertes cf. peregrina SCS-2010. RNAcentral describes it as "tRNA-Ile". Lineage: Eukaryota; Metazoa; Nemertea; Enopla; Monostilifera; Emplectonematidae. The record is from RNAcentral.